Molecule: ribosomal RNA, 253 nt
Filed under: uncultured bacterium
Lineage: Bacteria
Description: partial 16S ribosomal RNA
Rfam family: Bacterial small subunit ribosomal RNA
Source: RNAcentral
UACAGAGGUCCCAAGCGUUGUUCGGAUUCACUGGGCGUAAAGGGUGCGUAGGUGGCGGGGUAAGUUUGAUGUGAAAUCUCCGGGCUUAACCCGGAAACUGCAUUGAAUACUAUCUCGCUCGAGGGUUGGAGGGGGGACUGGAAUUCUCGGUGUAGCAGUGAAAUGCGUAGAUAUCGAGAGGAACACCAGUGGCGAAGGCGAGUCCCUGGACAACUCCUGACACUGAGGCACGAAAGCUAGGGGAGCAAACAGG